Molecule: ribosomal RNA, 253 nt
Filed under: uncultured bacterium
Lineage: Bacteria
Description: partial 16S ribosomal RNA
Rfam family: Bacterial small subunit ribosomal RNA
Source: RNAcentral
UACGUAGGGUGCGAGCGUUAAUCGGAAUUACUGGGCGUAAAGCGUGCGCAGGCGGUUUUGUAAGCCAGAUGUGAAAUCCCCGGGCUUAACCUGGGAGUGGCAUUUGGGACUGCAAGGCUGGAGUUUGGCAGAGGAGACUGGAAUUCCUGGUGUAGCAGUGAAAUGCGUAGAUAUCAGGAGGAACACCGAUGGCGAAGGCAGGUCUCUGGGCUGACACUGACGCUCAUGCACGAAAGCGUGGGGAGCAAACAGG